CCUACGGGGGGCAGCAGUGGGGAAUAUUGCACAAUGGGGGAAACCCUGAUGCAGCAACGCCGCGUGAAGGAAGACGGUUCUCGGAUUGUAAACUUCUGUUCUUAGUGAAGAAUAAUGACGGUAGCUAAGGAGCAAGCCACGGCUAACUACGUGCCAGCAGCCGCGGUACUACGUAGGUGGCACGCGUUUUCCGGAAUUACUGGGUGUAUAGGGAGCGCAGGCGGGAAGCCAAGUCAGCUGUGGAAACUACGGGCUUACCUU
This 261-nucleotide ribosomal RNA is filed under the name uncultured bacterium. RNAcentral describes it as "partial 16S ribosomal RNA". It matches the Rfam family "Bacterial small subunit ribosomal RNA", at positions 338 to 615 of the family's 1533-position model. The record is from RNAcentral.